GGUGAAUGUGGGCCGGGGGGGGCGGUACAAGAGGGGGGGGAGGGGUUGGUGGGAGGGUGUGGGGGGAAAGCGGGUGUAGGCGGGUUUGCAAGUCGGGUGUGAAAGCCCUCGGCUCAACCGAGGAAGGGCGCCCGAAACUGCAGAGCUUGAGUACCGGAGAGGAUGGCGGAAUUCCCCAAGUAGAGGUGAAAUUCGUAGAUAUGGGGAGGAACACCGGUGGCGAAGGCGGCCAUCUGGACGGAUACUGACGCUGAGACGCGAAAGCGUGGGGAGCAAACAGGAUUAGAUACCCCAGUAGUC
RNAcentral lists this ribosomal RNA (300 nucleotides) under uncultured Ferroglobus sp. RNAcentral describes it as "partial 16S ribosomal RNA". The stretch from base 60 to 300 matches the Rfam family "Bacterial small subunit ribosomal RNA", at positions 555 to 795 of the family's 1533-position model. The record is from RNAcentral. Lineage: Archaea; Methanobacteriati; Methanobacteriota; Archaeoglobi; Archaeoglobales; Archaeoglobaceae.